CGGAGAUGGCGGAUACAUAUUAUGACACCAGUCCGACCCGGCGGACUCGCUCGGAACCCCUCCAGUGGGGGUUAUCUCGCGCUGUGAUUUCUUGAUUAGCAGCGGGUCGACUGGUUGCGGUUAACCGUUGUUAGGUUGUCACUCGAUUGGUAUGCAUGGGCUGGGAUUCGUGCUCAUCGUACUAACCCCCGAGCCCACCUAAUCUUCUCCUACCCCAUCGGCGUGGCGGAGCCGCGAAACCAAUCGAGGAGAAGCGAGAAACACCUAAAUUUACGAUAUUAACUUUCGAGAACUCAAGUUUCUGUCAAUGGAAAUUCAAGUUACUUUCGCUAAACUGUAGCUGCUGUGAUUCUUCUUGGACUUUUGAAAAAUUGGUCAUCUCAAUACGAGGCUACUAUUAUAAAGCGUCGAAUUCUCCGCGACAAGUGGCGGCCAUUUUUCAGUGGUUGACUCCACUCUGACAACGUGCCACUCGUCGACCCCUCUGUCGUAAUUCGUGUAACACGAUGGACGCACGGAGGUGAGGAGGUUUACAUAAUGACCACCCUAAAUCACCCUUUGCCAUGGAGCAGCGCGAGACGUGAAUGAGUCGAAUGAGAGGGAUGGAGAGAGGAGAUAUAUCGAGAGCAGUAGUCUGCACGAAUAUACAUAUCCGCCCCUCCUCGAGAACGGUAGGCAGGGUAAGAGAGAUUGGGGGGUUACAAUUUCCCAUGGAUAAUGGCACUUUGAUUACCCCGUGACGCCGUGCGUCCUGUCAAGUGGCACGCCGGGCCAUAAAUGGCUGACGUGGUAUUAAAAAAAGGAGCAAUAGUCUCACUAUGCGUUACGGGGUGAUCCAUUCAAAAUUCAUUCUGGGGACACUAGCGGAGAUUUCGAGCGCGCGUACUCGACUUUCUUGAUGAUACUCAAACAUCGCAACUGGUAGCGACCGAUUUGUCGACUUCAAUGUUUCGCCAGGUCGAGGGUCCGCCACGGGACUAUAAAGGAUCCGAAGUGGAAACAACAAUGCUGCAACUCCCGUCCCAUAAAUUCGGAUCGAGGAAUAUGACGGCGACGUUUUCGCGAUUCUCAUAGCUCGUGCUUGCGAAGGGAGCCUUCACGGCGCCAGACGGCGAAAUAACGUCGAUGGCUCGAAAGGGAGAUAUUUCGAGAACCUAGGAUGAGUUCGGUCGUUCGUCUACCCGUGCUAACUAUUCUACAACUAUCCAUGUGCAUAUAUAUUCCGGGAAAGUCUCACCUCGAGGUCAGACUUUUUACCGUUUACACUUUUACGGGCGUCAUACGACGUAUACUGUUGAGCUCUGAAUGUGGCUCCAUGGUGGAAAAGGCGCUUUUUAUUCGCGAGAAACUGUAAUCAGAGGAUAGAGAAAUGGCGAUCACUAUUGCGGUUGACGACCGUGGAGUCUAGGUUCCGAGGAUGCAGUAAUUCGACAAUGAUGAUGCGUUCUUGAAUAGCGCGUUAUUAUAACUCUUCUAUUGAUUGUGGUAGUUAAAACGAUUAUGUUCAGAUCAACGCAGAGUUAUUC
Long non-coding RNA from Trachymyrmex cornetzi, 1526 nucleotides. RefSeq lists it as uncharacterized. Lineage: Eukaryota; Metazoa; Arthropoda; Insecta; Hymenoptera; Formicidae. The record is from RefSeq and is a predicted model, not a curated record. The transcript has 4 exons.